UGUAAAGGGUGUUAAAAUGUUUAUUCAAUAAUUAAUUGAAAACUGAUACCUCCCUAUUUUUUUUUAUGUGAACACCAAUAGUUCAGAAUCAGUUAACCGCCACGCCAGCGGAUGGCGCUUGAGCGCUCCUGUGAAGCACACUAUAGAGACUAGUUUUUUCCCGGGUGCGACCUCAGAAGUAAACUGACGCACCAAAGGAACGACACUCAUUUUGUCUGUCUCUUUAUUUAUUCACAGGUAAAAUAAUAUGCACUUUAAACAUUCUUCUGAUUGUUCACAUGACUAUAGGAAGGUUUAGGAACGUAAUUGUGAAGUGUUUUGAUUAACUUUGUCAUGCUCUAAUGUGUUUUAUGAAAAUUGAAUUAACUCAAGGGUCUUAAAUGCAAACGAUUUAUUGUUUAGUAAAUGCAUUCAAAAGUAUUGUUAUACAGCAUUGUGGUGAUGUUGGAGUGCAUUGGCAGUGCAAGGGUGUGUGUUAUUUUUGUGUUUUAAUUGAGUAGUUGAGUAUAUCUGUUGCAUUAACAAUUCAAUCGCCAUUUUUGAGUGCUUUGCGCACAAGCUUAAUGAAUGACACGAGUCAAUCUGGGAGAAGUGGUGUAUGUAAAAUGGUGUUGGAUUUUAGUUUACACAUUCUGUGUGUUUAAGUGACACAUUUGUCAUCUUUCUAGUAAUAAGUGACAUUUAUGUGAAUCUUUAUUGAUUUAUUUUGUACACACUCUUCUUUCCACAUAAUAUGUAAAUUAUAUAUUGCCCUUAUGUGAAACAGGCUAUGGAAUGCAGGUGUGUAUGUAUUCAUAUAUCUUAUGUGUACACCAUAAGUUAAUGUGCAGAUGAAGUUAUUUUUGUAUGUAACUAAAGAAGUGUUUACAAUUACUAAAGUUUUAAGAUCUCAGAAGUAAACUGACGCACCAAAGGAACGACACUCAUUUUUGUCUGUCUCUUUAUUUAUUCACAGUGUUUUCACAGAUACACAGUGCUUCACUGCCUGUGUGUCCUUUGUUGCCAGCCCAGAUAUCCCCUAGGUCUGAGGCCGGUAACAAUUGGGGGCUGCGUCCGGGAUUAGCACAUCUCGCCUGGGACGGUUGUCAUAGUAACGUGGGAAUCCUGCACCCAGUGUUUCAGGGAAGACUACUUCGCCAAGUGUCAUCCAGAGAACAACUGCCACAGUGUUUUCACAGAUACACAGUGCUUCACUGCCUGUGUGUCCUUUGUUGCCAGCCCAGAUAUCCCCUAGGUCUGAGGCCGGUAACAUAU
This is a long non-coding RNA of Cyprinus carpio carpio, 1254 nucleotides long. The record is from Ensembl. NCBI's taxonomy places the organism in Eukaryota, Metazoa, Chordata, Actinopteri, Cypriniformes, Cyprinidae.